UGUGUUCAGAGUCAGAGAGCCGUGUCUCUCUACAGUCAGAGGUUUUUGUACGACGAUUCAAUCGGUUUGUAUCACUGUGGUACACGUUUGGUGGAGGAACCAGACUGGAUGUUGGAAGUGACACCCGUCCCACCCUGACAGUGCUGCCCCCCUCCAGUGAGGAGCUGCAGCAGGGGAAGGCCACCCUCAUGUGUUUGGCCAACAAGGGCUUCCCCUCCGGCUGGAGUCUGUCCUGGAAGGUGGACGGCAGCAGCAGCAGCAGCUGGGAGCAGAGCAGGAGCCCCGGGGUUCUGCAGAAGGACGGCCUCUACAGCUGGAGCAGCACCCUGAGGCUCCCUGCAGACCAGUGGAGGAAGGUGGGCUCUGUGACCUGUGAGGCCACCCAGGGCUCCCAGUCUGCAGUCACAGAGACACUGAGGAGAGACCAGUGUUCCCAGUCCUGACCUGAUUCACUCAGACAAUGAUAAUGGAUUGAAUCUGUCACUGCUCUCAUUCUUUCUCUUCUGAUUAUUUUCUACUUUCAAUGAAUCAUGUUUUCCUUGUCACUGUGUUCACUAUUCAAAAUAAAAUCACAAACUAAUGAA
Cyprinodon tularosa is the source of this 584-nucleotide non-coding RNA. NCBI's taxonomy places the organism in Eukaryota, Metazoa, Chordata, Actinopteri, Cyprinodontiformes, Cyprinodontidae. The record is from the annotation of a RefSeq genome assembly.